RNAcentral lists this ribosomal RNA (198 nucleotides) under uncultured bacterium. RNAcentral describes it as "partial 16S ribosomal RNA". It matches the Rfam family "Bacterial small subunit ribosomal RNA", at positions 328 to 539 of the family's 1533-position model. The record is from RNAcentral.
ACGCUCGACACCUACGGGGGGCAGCAGUGGGGAAUAUUGCACAAUGGGGGAAACCCUGAUGCAGCGACGCCGCGUGAGCGGAGAAGUAUUUCGGUAUGUAAAGCUCUAUCAGCAGGGAAGAAACUGACGGUACCUGACUAAGAAGCACCGGCUAAAUACGUGCCAGCAGCCGCGGUAAUCUGAGCGGGCUGGCAAGGC